GGGCCGUUAGCUCAGUUGGUAGAGCAUCUGACUCUUAAUCAGGGGGUCGCAGGUUCGAAACCUGCACGGCCCA
Molecule: non-coding RNA, 73 nt
Organism: Candidatus Atribacteria bacterium
Lineage: Bacteria; Pseudomonadati; Atribacterota; Atribacteria
Source: Rfam